ACUUUCAAAGGAUAAUAGAUCAAUCCAUUAGCCUUAGGAGCUAAAAAUCUUGGUGCAACUCCAAGUGAAAGUA
This 73-nucleotide transfer RNA is filed under the name Scincus scincus (sandfish skink). RNAcentral's name for it is "tRNA-Leu". It matches the Rfam family "tRNA". From Rfam's summary of the family: Transfer RNA (tRNA) molecules are approximately 80 nucleotides in length. Their secondary structure includes four short double-helical elements and three loops (D, anti-codon, and T loops). The record is from RNAcentral. Lineage: Eukaryota; Metazoa; Chordata; Lepidosauria; Squamata; Scincidae.